This 63-nucleotide transfer RNA is filed under the name Cladotaenia vulturi. Its description in RNAcentral is "tRNA-Cys". Lineage: Eukaryota; Metazoa; Platyhelminthes; Cestoda; Cyclophyllidea; Paruterinidae. The record is from RNAcentral.
AACCAUUGAGGUUUUAGUUUUGCAAAAGCUAUAUAAGAUUUUAUUCUCAUACCCUGUUUGUUU